GCUAGUAAGAGUGUUUCUUCUGAUCCUAAUGAUAUGCCUUUGUCUACUUUGAUUGAGAAUAAUAAUGAAUCUAUGGAUGUGAAUUUUGUUGGUAGGAAUAAUUUUGGUAACAACGCGUAUAGAGGAAACUUUAAUCCUAGGCCUUAUCCUAGCAAUUCCUCUAAUAAUUAUGGUAAUUCCUACAACAAUUCUUAUGGAAAUUUUAAUAAGAUGCCCUCUGAAUUUGAGACUAUUGUUAAAGAGUCUAUGAAUUCUCAAAAGAAUUUCAAUGCUUUGCUUGAAGAGAAAUUGCUUAAAGUUGAUGAAUUGGCUAGGAACGUUGAUAGAAUUUCUCUUGAUGUUGAUUCUUUGAAACGUAGAUCUAUUCCUCCUAAGCAUGAUAUCAAUGAGUCUCUCAAAGCCAUGAGAAUUUCCAUUGAUGAGUGCAAAGAAAGAACCGCUAGGAUG
RNAcentral lists this ribosomal RNA (447 nucleotides) under Triticum aestivum (bread wheat). RNAcentral's name for it is "partial small subunit ribosomal RNA". The record is from RNAcentral. Lineage: Eukaryota; Viridiplantae; Streptophyta; Magnoliopsida; Poales; Poaceae.